CCUACGGGUGGCAGCAGUGGGGAAUAUUGGACAAUGGGCGAAAGCCUGAUCCAGCCAUGCCGCGUGUGUGAAGAAGGCCUUCGGGUUGUAAAGCACUUUCAGUGGGGAAGAAAGCCUUGGGGCUAAUACCCUCGAGGAAGGACAUCACCCACAGAAGAAGCACCGGCUAACUCCGUGCCAGCAGCCGCGGUAAUACGGAGGGUGCGAGCGUUAAUCGGAAUUACUGGGCGUAAAGCGCGCGUAGGCGGUCUGAUAAGCCGGUUGUGAAAGCCCCGGGCUCAACCUGGGAACGGCAUCCGGGAGAGUCAGGGGAGACGGCAGGAGAGGAAGGUAGAAUGACAGGUGUAGCGGUGACAUGCGGAGCGAUCGGGAGGAAUAGCGGUGGAGAGGGUGGCCAUCUGGAAUGAAACUGACGCUGAGGUGCUUGAGUGUGAGUAGCAAACAGGAAUAGAUACCCGGUAUGC
Molecule: ribosomal RNA, 464 nt
Filed under: Vreelandella stevensii
Lineage: Bacteria; Pseudomonadati; Pseudomonadota; Gammaproteobacteria; Oceanospirillales; Halomonadaceae
Description: partial 16S ribosomal RNA
Rfam family: Bacterial small subunit ribosomal RNA
Source: RNAcentral